AAGUCGUAACAAGGUUUCCGUAGGUGAACCUGCGGAAGGAUCAUUAACUAUUUGUGGGGAAUAAGGCUUUAAAAAACCUUUUUCACCAUUAAUUCAUCCAUAAUGUGGGUCAAACCACAUGCGCAAUGUUUUUUUUUUAAAGGGUUAACUUUCGGGUUACUCUUUAUUUAUUAUAAUAUGGCCUAAAAAACCAUAUUAUUAAUUUUUUUAUACUAAAUUUACUGAAUAAACGAUUGACCAUAAUUUAUGGUUGUUUUAAAAAUAUAUUAAUUUAUAUAAAAACAACUUUCAGCAAUGGAUCUCUCGGCUUUC
This 312-nucleotide unclassified non-coding RNA is filed under the name Cunninghamella echinulata. RNAcentral describes it as "partial internal transcribed spacer region". The stretch from base 1 to 46 matches the Rfam family "Eukaryotic small subunit ribosomal RNA", at positions 1786 to 1831 of the family's 1831-position model. Lineage: Eukaryota; Fungi; Mucoromycota; Mucoromycetes; Mucorales; Cunninghamellaceae. The record is from RNAcentral.